GACGAACGCUGGCGGCGUGCUUAACACAUGCAAGUCGAACGGAAAGGCCCCGCUUUUGUGGGGUGCUCGAGUGGCGAACGGGUGAGUAACACGUGAGUAACCUGCCCUUGACUUUGGGAUAACUUCAGGAAACUGGGGCUAAUACCGGAUAGGAUCUCCUGCUGCAUGGUGGGGGUUGGAAAGUUUCGGCGGUUGGGGAUGGACUCGCGGCUUAUCAGCUUGUUGGUGGGGUAGUGGCUUACCAAGGCUUUGACGGGUAGCCGGCCUGAGAGGGUGACCGGCCACAUUGGGACUGAGAUACGGCCCAGACUCCUACGGGAGGCAGCAGUGGGGAAUAUUGCACAAUGGGCGGAAGCCUGAUGCAGCAACGCCGCGUGCGGGAUGACGGCCUUCGGGUUGUAAACCGCUUUCGCCUGUGACGAAGCGUGAGUGACGGUAAUGGGUAAAGAAGCACCGGCUAACUACGUG
This 468-nucleotide ribosomal RNA is filed under the name uncultured bacterium. RNAcentral's name for it is "partial 16S ribosomal RNA". It matches the Rfam family "Bacterial small subunit ribosomal RNA", at positions 28 to 507 of the family's 1533-position model. The record is from RNAcentral.